This 72-nucleotide transfer RNA is filed under the name Camelus bactrianus (Bactrian camel). It matches the Rfam family "tRNA". Rfam says of the family: Transfer RNA (tRNA) molecules are approximately 80 nucleotides in length. Their secondary structure includes four short double-helical elements and three loops (D, anti-codon, and T loops). Further hydrogen bonds mediate the characteristic L-shaped molecular structure. tRNAs have two regions of fundamental functional importance: the anti-codon, which is responsible for specific mRNA codon recognition, and the 3' end, to which the tRNAs corresponding amino acid is attached (by aminoacyl-tRNA synthetases). tRNAs cope with the degeneracy of the genetic code in two manners: having more than one tRNA (with a specific anti-codon) for a particular amino acid; and 'wobble' base-pairing, i.e. permitting non-standard base-pairing at the 3rd anti-codon position. Lineage: Eukaryota; Metazoa; Chordata; Mammalia; Artiodactyla; Camelidae. RNAcentral also lists the same sequence under 2 other names. The record is from Rfam by way of RNAcentral.
GAGGGUAUAGCUUAGCAGCAGAGCACCUGCCUAGCAUGCGUGAGGUCUCGGGUUUGAUUCCCAGUACCGCCA